AGCGAACGCUGGCGGCAUGCUUAACACAUGCAAGUCGCACGAACCUUUCGGGGUUAGUGGCGGACGGGUGAGUAACGCGUAGGAAUCUGUCCACGGGUGGGGGAUAACUCUGGGAAACUGGAGCUAAUACCGCAUGAUACCUGAGGGUCAAACUAGCAAGUCGCCUGUGGAGGAGCCUGCGUUCGAUUAGCUAGUUGGUGGGGUAAAGGCCUACCAAGGCGAUGAUCGAUAGAUGGUUUGAGAGAAUGAUCAGCCACACUGGGACUGAGACACGGGCCAGACUCCUACGGGAGGAAGCAGUGGGGAAUAUUGGACGAUGGGGGCAACCCUGAACCAGCAAUGCCGCGUGUGUGAAGAAGGUAUUCGGAUUGUAAAGCACUUUCGACGGGGUCGAGGAUGACGAUACCCGUAGAAGAAGCCCCGGCUAACUUCGUGCCAGCCGCCGCUGUAA
This 451-nucleotide ribosomal RNA is filed under the name uncultured bacterium. Its description in RNAcentral is "partial 16S ribosomal RNA". It matches the Rfam family "Bacterial small subunit ribosomal RNA", at positions 29 to 523 of the family's 1533-position model. The record is from RNAcentral.